This 8824-nucleotide long non-coding RNA is filed under the name Zea mays. RNAcentral describes it as "long non-coding RNA (ZMAY_LNC002175)". The record is from RNAcentral. Lineage: Eukaryota; Viridiplantae; Streptophyta; Magnoliopsida; Poales; Poaceae.
UCUCUUUGUUGAACCCAAUUCUUGGUCUUUUUAUUGGCUAAGUGUGAACCUUUGGCACCUGUACAACUUAUACACUAGAGCAAACUAGUUAGUCCAAUUAUUUGUGUUGGGCAAUUCAACCACCAAAAUCAAUUAGGAACUAGGUGUAAGCCUAAUUCCCUUUCAAUCUCCCCCUUUUUGGUGAUUGAUGCCAACACAAACCAAAGCAAGUAUAGAAGUGCAUAAUUGAACUAGCUUGCAUAAUGUAAGUGCAAAGGUUGCUUGGAAUUGAGCCAAUAUAAAUACUUAUAGAAUACGCAUGGAUUGUUUCUUUAUUUUUUAACAUUUUGGACCACGCUUGCACCAUAUGUUUUGUUUUUGCAAAUUCUUUUGUAAAUCCCUUUCAAAAUCCUUUUGCAAAUAGUCAAAGGUAAAAUGAAUAGAAUUUUGCAAAGUAUUUUCAAGAUUUGAAAUUUUCUCCCCUUGUUUCAAAUGCUUUUCCUUUGACUUGAACAAAACUCCCCCUAAAUGAAAUCCUCCUCUUAGUGUUCAAGAGGGUUUUAGGAUAUUGAUUUUGAAAAUACUAUUCUCUCCCCCUUUUUUAACACAAGGAGAUACCAAAUUGAAAAAUCAUACCAAUUGAAAAACGCCUUUUAAAAAUUAGGUGGUGGUGCGGUCCUUUUGCUUUGGGCUAAUACUAUCUCCCCCUUUGGCAUGAAUCGCCAAAAACGGAGUCAUUAGAGCCCUUAGAAUUACUUUCUCCCCCUUUGGUCAUAAAUAAAUGAGUGAAGAUUAUACCAAAGACGGAGUCCUUUUGCUUCGGACUCAUGCUCUCUCCCCAAAAGAUGGAGAGUGGCUCGGAGCGACGACGAAGGAUGAGUUAUGGAGUGGAAGCCUUUGUCUUUGCCGAAGACUCCAAUUUUCUUUCAAUAUACCUAUGACUUGAUUUGAAAUUCACUUGAAAACACAUUAGUCAUAGCACAUGAAAGAGAUAUGAUCAAAGGUAUAUGAAUGAGCUAUGUGUGCAAAUCAACAAGAGAAAUUCCUAGAAUCAAGGAUAUUUAGCUCAUGCCUAAGUUUGUUAAAAGUUUGUUCAUCAAGAGGCUUGGUAAAGAUAUCGGUUAAUUGAUCUUUAGUAUUAAUGUACGCAAUCUCGAUAUCUCCCUUUUGUUGGUGAUCCCUUAGAAAGUGAUACCGAAUGGCUAUGUGUUUAGUGCGACUAUGCUCAACGGGAUUAUCCGCCAUGCGGAUUGCACUCUCAUUAUCACAUAGAAGAGGAACUUUGGUUAAUUUGUAACCGUAGUCCCUAAGGGUUUGCCUCAUCCAAAGUAGUUGCGCGCAACAAUGGCCUGCGGCAAUGUACUCGGCCUCGGCGGUAGAAAGAGCUACGGAAUUUUGCUUCUUUGAAGCCCAAGACACCAAGGAUCUUCCCAAGAACCGGCAAGUCCUCGAUGUGCUCUUUCUAUUGAUUUUACACCCCGCCCAAUCGGCAUCCGAAUAACCAAUUAAAUCAAAAGUGGAUCCCCUAGGAUACCAAAGCCCAAACUUAGGAGUAUAAACUAAAUAUCUCAAGAUUCGUUUUACGGUCGUAAGGUGAGCUUCCUUAGGGUUGGCUUGGAAUCUUGCACACAUGCAUACGGAAAGCAUAAUAUCCGGUCGAGUUGCACAUAAGUAGAGUAAAGAUCCUAUCAUCGACCGGUAUACCUUUUGAUCGACGGAUUUACCUCCUUCGUCGAGGUCGAGAUGCCCAUUGGUUCCCAUGGAUGUCUUGAUGGGUUUGGCAUCCUUCAUCCCAAACUUGCUUAGAAUAUCUUGAGUAUACUUCGUUUGGCUUAGGAAGGUGCCCUCUUGGAGUUGCUUCACUUGAAAUCCUAAGAAGUACUUCAACUCCCCCAUCAUAGACAUCUCGAAUUUCUGUGUCAUGAUCCUACUAAACUCUUCACAUGUAGAUUCGUUAGUAGACCCAAAUAUAAUAUCAUCAACAUAAAUUUGGCAUACAAACAAGUCAUUUUCAAGAGUUUUAGUGAAGAGUGUAGGAUUGGCUUUUCCGACUUUGAAGCCAUUAGUGAUAAGAAAAUCUCUAAGGCAUUCAUACCAUGCUCUUGGGGCUUGCUUUAGCCCAUAAAGCGCCUUAGAGAGUUUAUAAACAUGGUUAGGGUACUCACUAUCUUCAAAGCCGGGAGGUUGCUCAACAUAGACCUCUUCCUUGAUAGGUCCAUUGAGGAAGGCACUCUUCACGUCCAUUUGAUAAAGCUUGAAGCCAUGGUAAGUAGCAUAGGCCAAUAAUAUACGAAUUGACUCAAGCCUAGCUACAGGUGCAUAGGUUUCACUGAAAUCCAAACCUUCGACUUGGGAGUAUCCCUUGGCCACAAGUCGGGCUUUGUUCCUUGUCACCACACCAUGCUCAUCUUGCUUGUUGCGGAACACCCAUUUGGUUCCUACAACAUUUUGAUUAGGACGUGGAACUAAAUGCCAUACCUCGUUCCUAGUGAAGUUGUUGAGCUCCUCUUGCAUCGCCACCACCCAAUCUGAAUCUUGAAGUGCUUACUCUAUCCUGUGUGGCUCAAUAGAGGAAACAAAAGAGUAAUGCUCACAAAAAUGUGCAACACGAGAUCUAGUAGUUACCCCCUUAUGAAUAUCGCCGAGGAUGGUGUCGACGGGGUGAUCUCGUUGGAUUGCUUGGUGGACUCUUGGGUGUGGCGGCCUUGGUUCUUCAUCCUCCUUGUCUGGAUCAUUUGCAUCUCCCCCUUGAUCAUUGCCGUCAUCUUGAGGUGGCUCAUUUGCUUGAUCUUCUCCUUCAUCAACUUGAGCCUCAUCCUCACUUUGAGUUGGUGGAGAUGCUUGCGUGGAGGAGGAUGGUUGAUCUUGUGCAUUUGGAGGCUCUUCGGAUUCCUUAGGACACACAUCCCCAAUGGACAUGUUCCUUAGCGCGAUGCACGGAGCCUCUUCAUCACCUAUCUCAUCAAGAUCAACUUGCUCUACUUGAGAGCCGUUAGUCUCAUCAAACACAACGUCACAAGAAACUUCAACUUGUCUAGUGGACUUGUUAAAGACUCUAUAUGCCCUUGUGUUUGAAUCAUAUCCUAGUAAAAAGCCUUCUACAGUCUUAGGAGCAAAUUUAGAUUUUCUACCUCUUUUAACAAGAAUAAAGCAUUUGCUACAAAAGACUCUAAAAUAUGAAAUAUUGGGCUUUUUACCAGUUAGGAGUUCGUAUGAUGUCUUCUUGAGGAUUCGGUGUAGAUAUAACUGGUUGAUGGCGUAGCAAGCGGUGUUGACCGCCUCGGCCCAAAACCGAUCCGAAGUCUUGUACUCAUCAAGCAUGGUUCUUGCCAUGUCCAAUACAGUUCUAUUCUUCCUCUCCACUACACCAUUUUGUUGUGGCGUGUAGGGAGAAGAGAACUCAUGCUUGAUGCCCUCCUCCUCAAGGAAGCCUUCAAUUUGAGAGUUUUUGAACUCCGUCCUAUUGUCGCUUCUAAUUUUCUUGAUCCUUAAGCCGAACUCGUUUUGAGCCCGUCUCAAGAAUCCCUUUAAUGUCUCUUGGGUAUAAGAUUUUUCCUGCAAAAAGAAUACCCAAGUGAAGCGAGAAUAAUCAUCCACAAUAACUAGACAGUACUUACUCCCGCCGAUGCUUAUGUAAGCAAUCGGGCCGAAUAGGUCCAUGUGUAGGAGCUCCAGUGGCCUGUCAGUCGUCAUGAUGUUCUUAUGUGGAUGAUGGGCACCAACUUGCUUUCCUGCUUGGCAUGCGCUACAAAUCCUGUCUUUCUCAAAAUGAACAUUUGUUAGUCCUAAAAUGUGUUCUCCCUUUAGAAGCUUAUGAAGAUUCUUCAUCCCAACGUGUGCUAGUCGGCGAUACCAGAGCCAGCCCAUGUUAGUCUUAGCAAUUAAGCAAGUGUCAAGUUCAGCUCUAUCAAAAUUCACUAAGUAUAGCUGACCCUCUAACACUCCCUUAAAUGCUAUUGAAUCAGCACUUCUUCUAAAGACAGUGACACCUAUAUCAGUGAAUAAACAGUUGUAGCCCAUUUUGCAUAAUUGAGAAACGGAAAGCAAAUUGUAAUCUAAAGAGUCUACAAGAAAAACAUUGGAAAUGGAAUGGUCAGGUGAAAUAGCAAUUUUACCCAAUCCUUUGACCAAACCUUGAUUUCCAUCCCCGAAUGUGAUAGCUCGUUGGGGAUCUUGGUUUUUCUCAUAGGGGGAGAACAUCUUUUUCUCCCCUGUCAUGUGGUUUGUGCACCCGCUGUCGAUUACCCAACUUGAGCCCCCGGAUGCAUAAACCUACAAAACAAGUUUAGUUCUUCACUUUAGGUACCCAAAUGGUUUUGGGUCCUUUGGCAUUAGAUACAAGAACUUUGGGUACCCAAACACAAGUCUUUGACCCCUUGUGCUUGCCCCCAACAUACUUGGCAACUACCUUGCCGGAUUUGUUAGUUAAAACAUAUGAUGCAUCAAAAGUUUUAAAUGAAAUGUCAUGAUCAUUUGAUGCAUUAGGAGUUUUCUUCUUAGGCAACUUAGCACGGGUUGGUUGCCUAGAACUAGAUGUCUCACCCUUAUAUAUAAAAGCAUGGUUAGGGCCAGAGUGAGACUUCCUAGAAUGAAUUCUCCUAAUUUUGCUCUCAGGAUAACCGGCAGGGUACAAAAUGUAACCCUCAUUAUCUUGAGGCAUGGGAGCCUUGCCCUUAACAAAAUUAGACAAUUUCUUAGGUGGGGCAUUAAGCUUGACAUUGCCUCCCUAUUGGAAGCCAAUGCCAUCCUUAAUGCCAGGGCGUCUCCCUCUAUAAAGCAUACUACGAGCAAAUUUAAAUUUUUCAUUUUCAAGUUCAUGCUCGGCAAUUUUAGCAUCUAGUUUAGCUAUAUGAUCAUUUUGUUGUUUAAUUAAAAUCAUGUGAUCAUGAAUAGCAUUAAUAUCAACAUCUCUACAUCUAGUGCAAAUAGCUAGUGACAUGCUCAGUGGUAGAUGUAGAGGGUUUGCAAGAAUUAAGUUCAAUAAUCUUAGUAUGCAAUAUAUCAUUUUUAUCUCUAAGAUCGGAAAUUGUAACAUUGCAAACAUCUAGUUCUUUAGCCUUAGUAAGCAAUUUUUCAUUUUCAUUCCUAAGGCUAGCAAGAGUAAUGUUUAAUUCUUCAAUCUUAGCAAGCAAAUUAUCAUUAUCAUUUCUAAGAUUGGGAAUUGAAACAUUACAAGCAAUAGAAUCAACCUUAGCUAACAAAUUAGCAUUCUCAUUUCUAAGGUUGUCUAUAGUCUCAUGGCAAGUGCUUAGUUCACUAGAUAAUUUUUCACAAUUUUCAACUUCUAGAGAAUAAGAAUUUUUAACUUUAACAUGCUUUUUGUUUUCCUUGAUUAGGAAGUCCUUUUGGGAGUCCAAGAGGUCAUCCUUCUCAUGGAUGACACUAAUUAAUUCAUUUAAUUUCUCUUUUUGUUGCAUGUUUAAAUUGGCAAAAAGGGUACGCAAAUUAUCUUCCUCAUCACUAGCAUUAUCAUCACUAGAGGACUCAUAUCUAGUGGAGGAUUUGGAUUUAACCUUCUUCUUUUUGCCGUCCUUUGCCAUGAGGCACUUGUGGCCGACAUUGGGGAAGAGAAGUCCCUUGGUGACGGCGAUGUUGGCGGCGUCCUCGUCGUCGGAGGAGUCGCUAGAGCUUUCGUCGGAGUCCCACUCGCGACAAACAUGGGCAUCGCCGCCCUUCUUCUUGUAGUACUUCUUCUUCUCCUUUCUUCUCCCCCUCUUGUCGUCGCCCCUGUCACUGUCACUAGAAAUAGGACAUUUUGCUAUAAAGUGACCGGGCUUACCACACUUGUAGCAAACCUUCUUGGAGCGGGGCUUGUAAUCUUUCCCCCUCCUUUGCUUGAGGAUUUGGCGGAAGCUUUUGAUGACGAGCGCCAUUUCCUCGUUGUCGAGCUUGGAGGCGUCGAUGGGUGUUCUACUCGGUGUAGACUCCUCCUUCUUCUCCUCCGUCGCCUUAAAUGCGACCGGUUGUGCUUCGGAUGUGGAGGGACCGUCAAGCUCGUUGAUCUUCCGUGAGCCCUUGAUCAUAAAUUCAAAGCUCACAAAAUUCCCGAUUACUUCCUCGGGAGUCAUUAGUGUGUAUCUAGGAUUGCCACGAAUUAAUUGUACUUGAGUAGGGUUAAGGAAAAUAAAUGAUCUUAGAAUAACCUUAACCACCUCGUGGUCAUCCCACUUCUUGCUCCCGAGGUUGCGCACUUGAUUCACCAAGGUUAUGAGCCGGUUGUACAUGUCUUGAGGCUCCUCCCCUUGGCGAAGACGGAAGCGACCAAGCUCCCCCUCGAUCGUUUCCCGCUUGGUGAUCUUGGUGAGUUCAUCACCCUCGUGCGUGGUCUUGAGCACGUCCCAAACUUCCUUGGCGCUCUUUAAUCCUUGCACCUUGUUGUACUCCUCCCUACUUAGAGAGGCGAGGGGUAUGGUUGUGGCUUGGGAGUUGAAGUGCUUGAUUUGGGCCACCUCGUCCUCAUCAUAAUCCUCAUCCCCUAUGGAUGGUACCUGUUCUCCAAACUCAACAACAUUCCAUAUACUUUUGUGGAGUGUGGUUAGGUGAUAUUUCAUUAAAUCACUCCACCUAGCAUAAUCUUCACCGUCAAAGGUUGGCGGUUUGCCUAAUGGAACGGAAAGUAAUGGAGUAUGUCUAGAAGUACGAGGAUAGUGUAAGGGGAUCUUACUAAACUUCUUGCGCUCAUGGCGCUUAGAAGUUAUGGAGGGCCCGUCGGAGCCGGAGGUAGAUGGCGAUGAGGUGUCGGUCUCGUAGUAGACCACCUUCCUCAUCUUCUUUUUCUUGUCCCCACUCCGAUGCGACUUGUGGGAAGAAGCUUUCUUCUCCUUCCCCUUUCCCUUUUUGCGAGACUCUUCCGAUGAAGCCUUCCCGUGGCUUGUAGUGGGCUUUUCGCCGGUCUCCAUCUCCUUAUUGGCGUGAUCUCCCGACAUCACUUCGAGCGGUUAGGCUCUAAUGAAGCACCGGGCUCCGAUACCAAUUGAAAGUCGCCUAGAGGGGGGGUGAAUAGGGUGAAACUGAAAUUUACAAAGUUAAUCACAACUACAAGCCGGGUUAGCGUUAGAAAUAUAAUCGAGUCCGCGAGAGAGGGUGGAAAACAAAUUGCAAGCGAAUAAGGAUUGUGACAUGCGGAUUUGUUUUACCGAGGUUCGGUUCUCGCAAACCUACUCCCCGUUGAGGUGGUCACAAAGACCGGGUCUCUUUCAACCCUUUCCCUCUCUCAAACGGUCCCUCGGACCGAGUGAGCUUCUUCUUCUCAAUCAGACGGGAACAAAACUUCUCCGCAAGGGCCACCACACAAUUGGUGCCUCUUGCCUUGGUUACAAUUGAGUUGAUCGCAAGAAAGAGUCAAAGAAGAAAGCAAUCUAAGCGCAAGAGCUCGAAAGAACACAAGCAAAUCUCUCUCACUAAUCACUAAGGCGUUGUGUGGAAUUUGGAGAGGAUUUGAUCACUUGGGUGUGUCUAGAAUUGAAUGCUAGAGCUAUUGUAAGUGGUUGAAGUAUGAAAACUUGGAUGACUUGAAUGUGGGGUGGUUGGGGUAUUUAUAACUCCAACCACCAAACUAGCCGUUUGGUGGAGGCUGUCUGUCGCAUGGUGCACCGAAUAGUCCGGUGCACACCGGAUAGUGUCCGGUGCACCAGCCACGUCACCAGGCCGUUGGGUUCCGACCGUUGGAGCUCUGACUGCUAGGCCCGCCUGGAUGUCCGAUGGCACACCGGACAUGUACUGUAGAGUGUCCGGUGCGCCACUUCGCGCGUGCCUGACUUCUGCGUGCUCUGGCGCACAUUUAAUGCUUCUGCAGGUGACCGUUGGCGCGGAAUAGACGUUGCUCCGCUGGCUCACCGGACAGUCCGGUGUACACCGGACAUGUCUGGUGAAUUAUAGCGGAGCGAAUUCCCGAAGCUGACGAGUUCUAGAGUCGCUCUCCUCUGGGGCACCGGAUACUGUCCGGUGUACACCGGACAGUCCGGUGAAUUAUAGCGGAGCGCCUCUGGAUUUUCCCGAAGGUGAGGAGUUCAGCGUGAAGACCCCUGGUGCACCGGACACUGUCCGGUGGCACACCGGACAGUCCGGUGCGCCUGACCAGGGCACACUUCGGUUAUCCCUUGCUCUCUUUGUUGAACCCAAUUCUUGGUCUUUUUAUUGGCUAAGUGUGAACCUUUGGCACCUGUACAACUUAUACACUAGAGCAAACUAGUUAGUCCAAUUAUUUGUGUUGGGCAAUUCAACCACCAAAAUCAAUUAGGAACUAGGUGUAAGCCUAAUUCCCUUUCAAUCUCCCCCUUUUUGGUGAUUGAUGCCAACACAAACCAAAGCAAGUAUAGAAGUGCAUAAUUGAACUAGCUUGCAUAAUGUAAGUGCAAAGGUUGCUUGGAAUUGAGCCAAUAUAAAUACUUAUAGAAUACGCAUGGAUUGUUUCUUUAUUUUUUAACAUUUUGGACCACGCAUGCACCAUAUGUUUGUUUUAGCAAAUUCUUUUGUAAAUCCCUUUCAAAAUCCUUUUGCAAAUAGUCAAAGGUAAAAUGAAUAGAAUUUUGCAAAGUAUUUUCAAGAUUUGAAAUUUUCUCCCCUUGUUUCAAAUGCUUUUCCUUUGACUUGAACAAAACUCCCCCUAAAUGAAAUCCUCCUCUUAGUGUUCAAGAGGGUUUUAGGAUAUUGAUUUUGAAAAUACUAUUCUCUCCCCCUUUUUGAACACAAGGAGAUACCAAAUUGAAAAAUCAUACCAAUUGAAAAACGCCUUUUAAAAAUUAGGUGGUGGUGUGGUCCUUUUGCUUUGGGCUAAUACUCUCUCCCCCUUUGGCAUGAAUCGCCAAAAACGGAGUCAUUAGAGCCCUUAGAAUUACUUUCUCCC